This 558-nucleotide unclassified non-coding RNA is filed under the name Hevea brasiliensis (rubber tree). The record is from RNAcentral. Lineage: Eukaryota; Viridiplantae; Streptophyta; Magnoliopsida; Malpighiales; Euphorbiaceae.
AUUGGAGACGAGCAUAUGGUUAUAGAUCCAACACAUCACGAAGAAGCUGUUAUGGGAGGAAGAAUGUCCGUCACCCUGAAUGCAAAUGGUGAUGUCUGUGCAAUUCAAAAAGCUGGGGGACAUGGUGUCUUGCAAAGUGUUGUCAUGCAGUGUCUACGCAUAGCAUCAGUAAAAGCCGGAGAUAUAACUAGCAAAAUUAAAACCGUUGUUGAAUCUUAUAAAACAGAGAGAGCUCUCAGAAUGGUCAAGCGACAUGCUCCUAGAAAUGCUGUUGAUGUCAAUGCACCAGGUGAAAAGGCUAAGCAAAUUUUGGAGGGGCCAAAAUUGAAAUCAGAAGAAUGCAGUGUUAGUCAGAGCGAUGACAUGGAUGUGGAGCAGGGUAGAAUCAAGAAGAAGAGUGAUAAGGACCGGAGUUUCACAGGCAGGCCGUCCAGUUGGGAUCCAUAUUCAGAGGGUGUCAACACUGACGAACUGAAAGCUACUCUUGCCUCUCGUGGUUCAGUUGCAGUGCCUAUGAAUCUAGACAAUUUAGGUGAUGAUAUUAGAGAUGAAACAAAA